Molecule: ribosomal RNA, 519 nt
Filed under: uncultured bacterium
Lineage: Bacteria
Description: bacterial SSU rRNA
Rfam family: Bacterial small subunit ribosomal RNA
Source: RNAcentral
UUCUGGCUCAGGAUGAACGCUGGCGGCGUGCCUAAUACAUGCAAGUCGAGCGAACAGAUAAGGAGCUUGCUCCUUGACGUUAGCGGCGGACGGGUGAGUAACACGUGGGUAACCUACCUAUAAGACUGGGAUAACUUCGGGAAACCGGAGCUAAUACCGGAUAACAUUUGGAACCGCAUGGUUCUAAAGUGAAAGAUGGUUUUGCUAUCACUUAUAGAUGGACCCGCGCCGUAUUAGCUAGUUGGUAAGGUAACGGCUUACCAAGGCGACGAUACGUAGCCGACCUGAGAGGGUGAUCGGCCACACUGGAACUGAGACACGGUCCAGACUCCUACGGGAGGCAGCAGUAGGGAAUCUUCCGCAAUGGGCGAAAGCCUGACGGAGCAACGCCGCGUGAAGUGAUGAAGGGUUUCGGCUCGUAAAACUCUGUUAUUAGGGAAGAACAAAUGUGUAAGUAACUGUGCACGUCUUGACGGUACCUAAUCAGAAAGCCACGGCUAACUACGUGCCAGCCGCCGC